This 492-nucleotide ribosomal RNA is filed under the name uncultured bacterium. RNAcentral's name for it is "partial 16S ribosomal RNA". It matches the Rfam family "Bacterial small subunit ribosomal RNA", at positions 29 to 507 of the family's 1533-position model. The record is from RNAcentral.
AGUGAACGCUGGCGGUAGGCCUAACACAUGCAAGUCGAGCGGCAGCACAGUAAGAGCUUGCUCUUACGGGUGGCGAGUGGCGGACGGGUGAGGAAUACAUCGGAAUCUACUUUUUCGUGGGGGAUAACGUAGGGAAACUUACGCUAAUACCGCAUACGACCUACGGGUGAAAGCAGGGGAUCUUCAGACCUUGCGCGAUUGAAUGAGCCGAUGUCGGAUUAGCUAGUUGGCGGGGUAAAGGCCCACCAAGGCGACGAUCCGUAGCUGGUCUGAGAGGAUGAUCAGCCACACUGGAACUGAGACACGGUCCAGACUCCUACGGGAGGCAGCAGUGGGGAAUAUUGGACAAUGGGCGCAAGCCUGAUCCAGCCAUACCGCGUGGGUGAAGAAGGCCUUCGGGUUGUAAAGCCCUUUUGUUGGGAAAGAAAAGCAGCAGGUUAAUACCCCGCUGUUCUGACGGUACCCAAAGAGUAAGCACCGGCUAACUUCGUG